GAUGAACGCUGGCGGCGUGCCUAAUACAUGCAAGUCGAGCGAACGGACGAGAAGCUUGCUUCUCUGAUGUUAGCGGCGGACGGGUGAGUAACACGUGGAUAACCUACCUAUAAGACUGGGAUAACUUCGGGAAACCGGAGCUAAUACCGGAUAAUAUUUUGAAACGCAUGGUUCAAAAGUGAAAGACGGUCUUGCUGUCACUUAUAGGUGGAUCCGCGCUGCAUUAGCUAGUUGGUAAGGUAAAGGCUUACCAAGGCAACGAUGCAUAGCCGACCUGAGAGGGGGAUCGGCCACACUGGAACUGAGACACGGUCCAGGCUCCUACGGGAGGCAGCAGUAGGGAAUCUUCCGCAAUGGGCGAAAGCCUGACGGAGCAACGCCGCGUGAGUGAUGAAGGUCUUCGGAUCGUAAAACUCUGUUAUUAGGGAAGAACAUAUGUGUAAGUAACUGUGCACAUCUUGACGGUACCUAAUCAGAAAGCCACGGCUAACUACGUG
Molecule: ribosomal RNA, 497 nt
Filed under: uncultured bacterium
Lineage: Bacteria
Description: partial 16S ribosomal RNA
Rfam family: Bacterial small subunit ribosomal RNA
Source: RNAcentral